This 429-nucleotide ribosomal RNA is filed under the name Gemmatimonadota bacterium. Its description in RNAcentral is "Gemmatimonadetes bacterium partial 16S ribosomal RNA". It matches the Rfam family "Bacterial small subunit ribosomal RNA", at positions 355 to 776 of the family's 1533-position model. Lineage: Bacteria; Pseudomonadati; Gemmatimonadota. The record is from RNAcentral.
UAGGGAAUCUUCGGCAAUGGACGAAAGUCUGACCGAGCAACGCCGCGUGAGUGAAGAAGGUUUUCGGAUCGUAAAACUCUGUUGUUAGAGAAGAACAAGGACGUUAGUAACUGAACGUCCCCUGACGGUAUCUAACCAGAAAGCCACGGCUAACUACGUGCCAGCAGCCGCGGUACUACGUAGGUGGCAAGCGUUGUCCGGAUUUAUUGGGCGUAAAGCGAGCGCAGGCGGUUUCUUAAGUCGGAUGUGAAAGCCCCCGGCUCAACCGGGGAGGGUCAUUGGAAGCUGGGAGACUUGAGUGCAGAAGAGGAGAGUGGAAUUCCAUGUGUAGCGGUGAAAUGCGUAGAUAUAUGGAGGAACACCAGUGGCGAAGGCGGCUCUCUGGUCUGUAACUGACGCUGAGGCUCGAAAGCGUGGGGAGCAAACAGG